Molecule: non-coding RNA, 73 nt
Organism: Orbicella faveolata
Lineage: Eukaryota; Metazoa; Cnidaria; Anthozoa; Scleractinia; Merulinidae
Source: the annotation of a RefSeq genome assembly
GGCUUGAUAGCUCAGUUGGUAGAGCACUGCACCAGUGUUGCAGAAGUCAAGGGUUCGAAUCCCGUUCAAGCCU